AUGUUUCAGCUACUUAGGACAAGGCGACCAUUCAUUGCAGAAUUUACUGAUGCCAAGGGUAAUGAGAUAUUCACGGUUCGCCGGCCUUUUAGGUGGAUCAACAGCUCCAUUUAUGCAGAAGUGAAUGGCAAGGAGGUAGGUGUAGUCCACAGUCGUUGGCAUCUUUGGCGUAGAAAUUAUGACUUGUACUUAGGGAAUAGGCAGUUUGCUGUGGUGGAGAAUCCUGGAUUUUGGAGCUGGUCCUUUACCCUGCUUGAUGAGGAUGAUAAUUUAGUAGCCAUAAUUGAUCGCAAGAUUAGGGGAGUUGGUUUGGAGCCCUGCACGGGUGCUGCCCAGUAUGAAGUUUGGUUUGGUGAUGCUGGAAAAGGCACAGAUAAAGGUUUUUGUCUCGCUAAAGAUAUGCACAACGACCUUCGCGUCUUUCUCCCGCUGGAUUUACCCGAGAGGGCUGUGGCUCUUGCUCUUGCUGUGUCUCUGGACCAUGACUGCUUCUCCAGGAGAUUGGGCUGGUGUUCACCUCCUGUUGCUAUAGAG
This 534-nucleotide ribosomal RNA is filed under the name Triticum aestivum (bread wheat). Its description in RNAcentral is "partial small subunit ribosomal RNA". Lineage: Eukaryota; Viridiplantae; Streptophyta; Magnoliopsida; Poales; Poaceae. The record is from RNAcentral.